UACGUAGGGGGCAAGCGUUAUCCGGAUUUACUGGGUGUAAAGGGAGCGCAGACGGAACUGCAAGUCUGAUGUGAAAGCCCGGGGCUCAACCGCGGGACUGCAUUGGAAACUGUAGAUCUGGAGUGCCGGAGGGGCAAGCGGAAUUCCUGGUGUAGCGGUGAAAUGCGUAGAUAUCAGGAGGAACACCGGCGGCGAAGGCGGCUUGCUGGACGGCAACUGACGUUGAGGCACGAAAGCAUGGGUAGCGAACAGGAUUAGAUACCCCCGUA
RNAcentral lists this ribosomal RNA (269 nucleotides) under uncultured prokaryote. Its description in RNAcentral is "partial 16S ribosomal RNA". It matches the Rfam family "Bacterial small subunit ribosomal RNA", at positions 524 to 792 of the family's 1533-position model. The record is from RNAcentral.